UGGGGAAUAUUGCGCAAUGGGGGAAACCCUGACGCAGCGACGCCGCGUGAGCGAAGAAGGCCUUAGGGUUGUAAAGCUCUGUUUUAAGGGACGAAUGUCGUGGGGAGUAAUAUGCUCUGCGAAUGACGGUACCCUAAGAGGAAGCCCCGGCUAACUACGUGCCAGCAGCCGCGGUAAGACGUGGGGGGCGAGCGUUGUCCGGAAUUACUGGGCGUAAAGAGCACGUAGGCGGGAACUUAAGUCAGGUGUGAAGGACCGGGGCUCAACUCCGGGGUUGCACUUGAAACUGGGUUUCUUGAGGGCAGGAGAGGAAAGCAGAAUUCCUGGUGUAGCGGUGAAAUGCGUAGAAAUCAGGAGGAAUACCAGUGGCGAAGGCGGCUUUCUGGACUGACCCUGACGCUGAGGUGCGAAAGCGUGGGUAGCAAACAG
RNAcentral lists this ribosomal RNA (429 nucleotides) under uncultured bacterium. Its description in RNAcentral is "bacterial SSU rRNA". It matches the Rfam family "Bacterial small subunit ribosomal RNA", at positions 355 to 775 of the family's 1533-position model. The record is from RNAcentral.